Molecule: long non-coding RNA, 1329 nt
Filed under: Astyanax mexicanus (Mexican tetra)
Lineage: Eukaryota; Metazoa; Chordata; Actinopteri; Characiformes; Acestrorhamphidae
Description: lncRNA (ENSAMXG00005006052.1)
Source: RNAcentral
CUUCCUCUUGAUUAUAUUCCAGAGGUUUUCAAUUUGUUAAAACCAAAGAAACUCAUCAUUUUCCAGAUAAGUAAAUUGUCAUGUGGAGCAUUUAUUUACAGAAAGUAUUGAAAAAGAUGCAGAGCUUUCAGACCUUAAAUAAUGCAAAGAAAACAAGUUCAUAUUCAUGAAGUUUUAAGAGUUCAGAAAUCAAUAUUUGGUGGUUUCAACAACCCAUAGUGCUCUCCUCCACCAGUCUUACACACUGCUUUUAGGUGAACUUAUGCUUAUUACACUCCCGGCCACAAGAACAGGGUAAAAGGAGGCUGAUGAUAAUAAAGUAUAUAGAAAAACCGGUGUUUUCUGUUUUGACUAAAUCUCUCUCUCUCUCCCUCUCUCUCUCUCUCUCUCCCUCUCUCUCUCUCUCUCUCUGUCUCUCCCUCUCUCUCUCUCUCUCAGUAAAUUCAGGCCGCAGUCGGAGCAGCAGAAUGAUAAUUUCUCUCUCUCCACCAUCGCUGAAGGCUCUCAGGCAAACAAAACCAUGAGCAAAUACAUUUGGGAGUAUAGGCUCAGUGAGGAGCGCUGCGGUGAGGUAAGAUGAUCAGAAACCUGCUGUAGAUCCUUCCUGACUCUCUGCUGUGCCUCACUAACCCCCAAACAUGGCUCAGAUCUCGCUAACACCCCACCCGGCUCAGCGUCCUGCACCGUCCUGCAGCUCCCGUAUGGCCUUCCUACCGCAGGACCCUUAUCUUGGCUUAAACCUGCGCUCUGCCUUCUGCUGCUCGGUCUUCUGAAGAGUCGAGACGUUCUUAUACUCGCCAAACUAGCACAUAAAAACGGGUUAUUUUUAUUUUUAUUAUUUGGAAAGGACUUUUCUGUUCAUAUUCUGUUGUCGAGCUACACCAUAAUCAGGCCUUUUUUUUUAGAUUUAGAUUUAACAUUAAGUCUAAUCCUGAAUUUUAUCACUAUUUAAUAGGAGGAAGUUGUGCGACAUCCAUGAUUUUACAUCUUCUACACAAUCCUCGAUUUUCUUUAGUCUAGAUGAGUAUCAUCCACAUAGUGCUAUAAUAUAAAACACUAAGGCUUUAAAUUAAAGCUUUGGUUUACUUUUUCCCACAAAAUUAAACAAUAUAUAUUGUUAUAUGAAGAAAUCAGACUUCAUUAUUAGAAAAACAGAUAAACAAAGCUAAAUAUAUUAAUUAAAUAGUUCCACAAACUUCUAUAAAUAGUCCUAAAAUACUCAGUGUUUAGUAUUCAAAAAGAUAAUUUAACACCCUGUAUCCAGAGUUUUAUGGAGUUUUAUCACUUGUGCGGAAUAAAUAAUUCUAUACCCAGGACCGAUCCUGGGCC